AUUGUUUCUUGGCCUUUUUGGCUAGAUCAAGUGUAGUAUCUGUUCUUAUCAAUUUAAUAUCUGAUAUGCCCUCUAUCCAAGGACAAUACAUUAAAUGGAUUUUUGGAGCUGGGACAUGGAAUAGGAGUUUGCUCUGUCCACUCAGCGCAUUGACCUGAUAUUGUAGUAAUAACUGGAAUGGUGUACACACA
Fukomys damarensis (Damara mole-rat) is the source of this 191-nucleotide small nuclear RNA. Its record names the gene U2. It matches the Rfam family "U2 spliceosomal RNA". From Rfam's summary of the family: U2 is a small nuclear RNA (snRNA) component of the spliceosome (involved in pre-mRNA splicing). Complementary binding between U2 snRNA (in an area lying towards the 5' end but 3' to hairpin I) and the branchpoint sequence (BPS) of the intron results the bulging out of an unpaired adenosine, on the BPS, which initiates a nucleophilic attack at the intronic 5' splice site, thus starting the first of two transesterification reactions that mediate splicing. The record is from Ensembl. NCBI's taxonomy places the organism in Eukaryota, Metazoa, Chordata, Mammalia, Rodentia, Bathyergidae.